RNAcentral lists this ribosomal RNA (498 nucleotides) under uncultured bacterium. RNAcentral describes it as "partial 16S ribosomal RNA". It matches the Rfam family "Bacterial small subunit ribosomal RNA", at positions 30 to 523 of the family's 1533-position model. The record is from RNAcentral.
AUUGAACGCUGGCGGCAUGCCUUACACAUGCAAGUCGAACGGUAACAGGUCUUCGGAUGCUGACGAGUGGCGAACGGGUGAGUAAUACAUCGGAACGUGCCUAGUAGUGGGGGAUACCUACUCGAAAGAGUGGCUAAUACCGCAUGAGACCUACGGAUGAAAGCAGGGGAUCGCAAGACCUGGUGCUACUAGAGCGGCGGAUGGCAGAUUAGGUAGUUGGUGGGUUAAAAGCUUACCAGGCCGACGAUCUGUAGCUGGUCUGGGAGGACGAUCAGCCACACUGGGACUGAGACACGGCCCAGACUCCUACGGGAGGCAGCAGUGGGGAAUUUUGGACAAUGGGCGAAAGCCUGAUCCAGCAAUGCCGCGUGCAGGAUGAAGGCCUUCGGGUUGUAAACUGCUUUUGUACGGAACGAAAAGCCCUGGGUUAAUACCCUGGGGUCAUGACGGUACCGUAAGAAUAAGCACCGGCUAACUACGUGCCAGCAGCCGCCGUAA